GACGAACGCUGGCGGCGUGCUUAACACAUGCAAGUCGAACGGAAAGGCCCUGCUUUUGUGGGGUGCUCGAGUGGCGAACGGGUGAGUAACACGUGAGUAACCUGCCCUUGACUUUAGGAUAACUUCAGGAAACUGGGGCUAAUACCUGCUAGGAGCUCCUGCUGCAUGGUGGGGGUUGGAAAGUUUCGGCGGUUGGGGAUGGACUCGCGGGUUAUCAGCUUGUGGGUGGGGUAGUGGCUUACCGAGGCAUUGACGGGUAGGCGGCAUGAGAGGGUGACCGGCGACCUUGGGACAGCGAUAGGCCGCAGUGGCGUAUGGUAGGCAGCGGUGGGGAAUCUUGCCCAAUGGGCGGACGUGUGAUGAAGAAACGCUCGGAGUGUGAUGACGGCUUUCGGGUUGUAAACCGCAUUAGGCUGUGACGAAGCGUGAGUGACGGUAAUGGGUAAAGAAGCACCGGCUAACUACGUG
This 468-nucleotide ribosomal RNA is filed under the name uncultured bacterium. RNAcentral's name for it is "partial 16S ribosomal RNA". It matches the Rfam family "Bacterial small subunit ribosomal RNA", at positions 28 to 507 of the family's 1533-position model. The record is from RNAcentral.